CCUCUCUUUGUAAUCUUCAGACUUGUACUACUCAGUGAGGCUUUUAAGCCCUGGUGGUCCAAGUUUUUUUCGCCUGUUGUCAUCUUCCAUCUGCUGUAAAGAAAAGAAAAGGGAAAAAAUUGUUUGGCUCCUGGCAGACUUCACAACCUCAUCGUUGAUACAAGAAAAUUGAACUAAACUCCCAGUUAUCUGUCCAAAUAAUCUCUCUAUUUGUUUUGCAUUGUUUGGCGGCCGGAGUGACAAACCCAAAGCUGCUAUGUUAUCUGCAAAAAGGCGCAACAACUCCUCAGACUCGGCCGCCAUUAUGUCGCCAUGUUUACGUGCGCUAAGCCGCCCGUGCACGGGGGCCGACCCGCCGCCGGUCACCGUGGAGACGAUAAAGCGCCGUCAUAAUUGCUUUAGCGCUUUUGUUGUGCCCGCCAGGCGCUCGCCAGGGAGGGUUGCAGGUUAGCGCAGAUAAAGCCGACUCGGCGGGAUUCGUUCUCGCGCCACUCAUCUGGAAAGAUUCAAAUAAAUGUAAUAGAAAGUCGUUCUGGCCAGGCAACGUGUUCUGACUGUUUGCCAGUUGUGUACCUGAGCAAGGUGAUGACUGCGCAUGAAUAUCAAGUUACACUACUAAUAGUAUAAAAUACUUUGAGCACUGUCUGUCCGGCCGUCUGUCCGUACGUCUGGCGUGAAUUUGUCAGCUUUGAAGUGCAGGUGUGUGCGUGCGUGUGUCAUGUAGACAAAUUACAAGGAGCCAGCUGUCCACAACGCCAGCGACGCCCCCCCAACCUGGACAAGAUGGUGGACAACUCACUGCCGGAAGCUGAUGAGCUCUCAGUAACUUGGGACUUGCUUGUGUCGCUCUCACAAUGCGGACUUCAUCCAGUGGACCCAGAAAGCCAAAGCAAGCAUGGAGAACGUGCAAACUCCACAUAGGAAGGCCAGAGACUGGAUUCGAACCACCAACCUCAGAGCUGCGAGGCUGAUGUGCUAACCACUAGGGCGGCGACCUGUCUUCACUGUGUUUUAUUAUUGUAUAUUCUAUUAUUUCGUCUAUUUCCUGAAAACGGAUAUAAUAAUUUGUUGCAUUGU
Long non-coding RNA from Phyllopteryx taeniolatus (common seadragon), 1077 nucleotides. RefSeq lists it as uncharacterized. The transcript is spliced from 3 exons. The record is from RefSeq and is a predicted model, not a curated record. NCBI's taxonomy places the organism in Eukaryota, Metazoa, Chordata, Actinopteri, Syngnathiformes, Syngnathidae.